CAGUCGCCGCGGUAAUACGUAGGGUGCGAGCGUUAAUCGGAAUUACUGGGCGUAAAGCGUGCGCAGGCGGUGAUGUAAGACAGUUGUGAGAUCCCCGGGCUCAACCUGGGAACUGCAUCUGUGACUGCAUCGCUGGAGUGCGGCAGAGGGGGAUGGAAUUCCGCGUGUAGCAGUGAAAUGCGUAGAUAUGCGGAGGAACACCGAUGGCGAAGGCAAUCCCCUGGGCCUGCACUGACGCUCAUGCACGAAAGCGUGGGGAGCAAACAGGAUUAGAGACCCACGUAGUCCCUGUCUCUUAUAC
This 301-nucleotide ribosomal RNA is filed under the name uncultured bacterium. RNAcentral describes it as "partial 16S ribosomal RNA". It matches the Rfam family "Bacterial small subunit ribosomal RNA", at positions 509 to 807 of the family's 1533-position model. The record is from RNAcentral.